GAUGAACGCUGGCGGCGUGCCUAAUACAUGCAAGUAGAACGCUGAAGGAGGAGCUUGCUUCUCUGGAUGAGUUGCGAACGGGUGAGUAACGCGUAGGUAACCUGCCUGGUAGCGGGGGAUAACUAUUGGAAACGAUAGCUAAUACCGCAUAAGAGUAGAUGUUGCAUGACAUUUGCUUAAAAGGUGCAAUUGCAUCACUACCAGAUGGACCUGCGUUGUAUUAGCUAGUUGGUGAGGUAACGGCUCACCAAGGCGACGAUACAUAGCCGACCUGAGAGGGGGAUCGGCCACACUGGGACUGAGACACGGCCCAGACUCCUACGGGAGGCAGCAGUAGGGAAUCUUCGGCAAUGGACGGAAGUCUGACCGAGCAACGCCGCGUGAGUGAAGAAGGUUUUCGGAUCGUAAAGCUCUGUUGUAAGAGAAGAACGAGUGUGAGAGUGGAAAGUUCACACUGUGACGGUAUCUUACCAGAAAGGGACGGCUAACUACGUG
RNAcentral lists this ribosomal RNA (495 nucleotides) under uncultured bacterium. RNAcentral's name for it is "partial 16S ribosomal RNA". It matches the Rfam family "Bacterial small subunit ribosomal RNA", at positions 28 to 507 of the family's 1533-position model. The record is from RNAcentral.